AUGUGGCCUGCACCAGUGCUUCUGCUCGUCCAGUCGGCUCUGCUGAUUCAAGGAUCUUCCGCCCAGGAUUCUCAGAUCCAGACGGACAAAAUCAAGUAUGUCAGUCUUGGUGGGACGGUGACCAUCAGCGCCAAAGGGAACUCACACACUGAAAAUUAUCUCAGUUGGUACCAAGUGAAACCUGGACAGGUUCCUAAACCUCUGAUCUACGGUGCAUCAAGUCUUUCUUCUGGAACACCAUCUCGAUUCAGUGGCACACAAUCUGGCUCUGACUACACUCUGACUAUCAGUGGUGUUCAGGCAGAAGAUGUCGCUGAUUACUACUGUCUUGCCUAUAUUGGAUCUUCAACGGAAGUGAAAGUGGAAGAUGAUGAUGACUGGUCCACUGAACAAAGAUCACCAAGCAGAACCAGCGUCAAUCUGAACAAGUCCAAGUUCAAGGAUUCUUCAUUCCUUCAAUGA
Non-coding RNA from Entelurus aequoreus (snake pipefish), 462 nucleotides. The record is from the annotation of a RefSeq genome assembly. Lineage: Eukaryota; Metazoa; Chordata; Actinopteri; Syngnathiformes; Syngnathidae.